This 253-nucleotide ribosomal RNA is filed under the name uncultured bacterium. Its description in RNAcentral is "partial 16S ribosomal RNA". It matches the Rfam family "Bacterial small subunit ribosomal RNA", at positions 524 to 776 of the family's 1533-position model. The record is from RNAcentral.
GACGAAGGGGGCUAGCGUUGUUCGGAAUUACUGGGCGUACAGCGCGUGUAUGCGGUUGUUCAAGUCAGGUGUGAAAGCCUUGAGCUCAACUCAAGAAAUGCACUUGAUACUGGAUGACUAGAGGACCGGAGAGGAUAGUGGAAUUCCCAGUGUAGUGGUGAAAUACGUAGAGAUUGGGAAGAACACCAGUGGCGAAGGCGGCUAUCUGGACGGUUUCUGACGCUAAGACGCGAAAGCGUGGGGAGCAAACAGG